Molecule: microRNA precursor, 70 nt
Filed under: Plutella xylostella (diamondback moth)
Lineage: Eukaryota; Metazoa; Arthropoda; Insecta; Lepidoptera; Plutellidae
Description: microRNA pxy-mir-8528b precursor
Source: miRBase by way of RNAcentral
GCGGGAGCGCGGCGGCGAGCGGGACAGCGAGGCCGAGCAGCGCGCUCGCUCGCACAGCCUCUGCUCCUCG